GGGGGUGUGGCGGAACUGGUAGACGCGCUAGACUCAAAAUCUUGUGGCCUUUGGCCGUGUCAGUUCGAGUCUGACCAUCCCUACCA
This 86-nucleotide transfer RNA is filed under the name Alphaproteobacteria bacterium. Its description in RNAcentral is "tRNA-Leu". It matches the Rfam family "tRNA". Rfam says of the family: Transfer RNA (tRNA) molecules are approximately 80 nucleotides in length. Their secondary structure includes four short double-helical elements and three loops (D, anti-codon, and T loops). Lineage: Bacteria; Pseudomonadati; Pseudomonadota; Alphaproteobacteria. The record is from RNAcentral.